Molecule: ribosomal RNA, 403 nt
Filed under: Fusobacteriota bacterium
Lineage: Bacteria; Fusobacteriati; Fusobacteriota
Description: Fusobacteria bacterium partial 16S ribosomal RNA
Rfam family: Bacterial small subunit ribosomal RNA
Source: RNAcentral
UGGGGAAUUUUGCACAAUGGAGGAAACUCUGAUGCAGCGACGCCGCGUGAGUGAUGAAGAUCUUCGGAUUGUAAAACUCUGUCCUUAGUGAAGAUAAUGACAGUAACUAAGAAGCAAGCCCUGGCUAAAUACGUGCCAGCAGCCGCGGUAAUACGUAUGGGGCAAGCGUUGUCCGGAAUUAUUGGGCGUAAAGGGUACGUAGGCGGUUUAAUAAGUCCUAAUUAAAAGGCUAUGGCUCAACCAUAGUAUGGUUAAGAAACUGUUGAACUUGAGUAGAUGAGGUGAAAGUGGAAUUCCAUGUGUAGCGGUGAAAUGCGUAGAUAUAUGGAGGAACACCAAUGGCGAAGGCAACUUUCUGGAAUCAAACUGACGCUGAGGUACGAAGGCGUGGGGAGCAAACAGG